RNAcentral lists this ribosomal RNA (253 nucleotides) under uncultured bacterium. RNAcentral's name for it is "partial 16S ribosomal RNA". It matches the Rfam family "Bacterial small subunit ribosomal RNA", at positions 524 to 776 of the family's 1533-position model. The record is from RNAcentral.
CACGUAGGGUGCGAGCGUUGUCCGGAUUUAUUGGGCGUAAAGAGCGUGUAGGCGGCCUGAAAGGUCAGCUGUGAAAACUCGAGGCUCAACCUCGAGACGUCGGUUGAAACCAUCUGGCUAGAGUCCGGAAGAGGAGUGUGGAAUUCCCGGUGUAGCGGUGAAAUGCGCAGAUAUCGGGAAGAACACCCGUGGCGAAGGCGGCACUCUGGGACGGUACUGACGCUGAGACGCGAAAGCGUGGGGAGCGAACAGG